UUUCAUGGCGGCUGUGUGUGGGAGAUCUUCGGGUCUGCCGAGUCCUAACUCCUCGGUCUGCGAACCCGCACAUGGCUGCCACCCAA
Molecule: non-coding RNA, 86 nt
Filed under: Pseudomonas sp. NFACC16-2
Lineage: Bacteria; Pseudomonadati; Pseudomonadota; Gammaproteobacteria; Pseudomonadales; Pseudomonadaceae
Also listed under: 6 other names
Source: RNAcentral